Molecule: ribosomal RNA, 449 nt
Filed under: uncultured bacterium
Lineage: Bacteria
Description: bacterial SSU rRNA
Rfam family: Bacterial small subunit ribosomal RNA
Source: RNAcentral
UCCAGACUCCUACGGGAGGCAGCAGUGGGGGAUAUUGCACAAUGGGGGGAACCCUGAUGCAGCGACGCCGCGUGGGUGAAGGAGUGCUUCGGCAUGUAAAGCCCUAUCGGCAGGGAAGAAGCAAGACGGUACCUGACUAAGAAGCCCCGGCUAACUACGUGCCAGCAGCCGCGGUAAUACGUAGGGGGCGAGCGUUGUCCGGAAUUACUGGGCGUAAAGAGAGCGUAGGCGGCACUACAAGUCUCAUGUGAAAUACCCGGGCUUAACGUGGGGGUUGCAUGGGAAACUGUAGAGCUUGAGUACAGGAGAGGCAAGCGGAAUUCCUAGUGUAGCGGUGAAAUGCAUAGAUAUUAGGAGGAACACCAGUGGCGAAGGCGGCUUGCUGGACUGAAACUGACGCUGAGGCUCGAAAGCGUGGGGAGCAAACAGGAUUAGAUACCCCAGUAGCA